GAGUUCAACGGCCGCGGUACCCUAACCGUGCGAAGGUAGCAUAAUCACUUGUUCUUUAAAUGAGGACUCGUAUCAACGGCAUCACGAGGGUUAUACUGUCUCCUUUUUCCAAUCAAUGAAACUGAUCUCCCCGUGAAGAAGCGGGGAUACACCUAUAAGACGAGAAGACCCCAUGGAGCUUUAAACCCAACGGCACUCCUAUCUUUACACACCCCCUCACCCAAUAGGACCCUGCACGCUUGGUUUUAGGUUGGGGUGACCGCGGAGAACAAAACAACCUCCACAAUGAAUGGGACCUCCCCUUAUCUAAGAGACACAUCUCUAAGAAUUAGCAAACUAACAUAAAAUGAUCCGAUAUUCGAUCAACGAACCAAGUUACCCUGGGGAUAACAGCGCAAUCUACUUCAAGAGCUCCUAUCGACAAGUAGGUUUACGACCUCGAUGUUGGAUCAGGGUAUCCCAGUGGUGCAGCAGCUACUAACGGUUCGUUUGUUCAACGAUUAAAACCCU
RNAcentral lists this ribosomal RNA (510 nucleotides) under Tsingymantis antitra. RNAcentral describes it as "partial 16S ribosomal RNA". It matches the Rfam family "Bacterial large subunit ribosomal RNA", at positions 1920 to 2597 of the family's 2925-position model. The record is from RNAcentral. Lineage: Eukaryota; Metazoa; Chordata; Amphibia; Anura; Mantellidae.